GCCGGACAAUUUACAAAGGGUCUGGACCCAAUCAUGAAGAAGUGGUAAGGGAAUCUUGUAUCUCGAAGAAUAAACCAAGAUGAGGCUAAAGGGUAUAUCCAGUAUCCAGUGACAUGAAUGAACUUUUGUGAACAAAGAGGGAAACAUGCCUUUG
This 154-nucleotide long non-coding RNA is filed under the name Mustela putorius furo (domestic ferret). RNAcentral's name for it is "lncRNA (ENSMPUG00000024227.1)". Lineage: Eukaryota; Metazoa; Chordata; Mammalia; Carnivora; Mustelidae. The record is from RNAcentral.